Molecule: ribosomal RNA, 459 nt
Filed under: uncultured bacterium
Lineage: Bacteria
Description: partial 16S ribosomal RNA
Rfam family: Bacterial small subunit ribosomal RNA
Source: RNAcentral
UCUACGGGCGGCAGCAGUGAGGAAUAUUGGUCAAUGGGCGUAAGCCUGAACCAGCCAAGUCGCGUGAGGGAUGAAGGUUCUAUGGAUCGUAAACCUCUUUUAUAAGGGAAUAAAGUGCGGGACGUGUCCCGUUUUGUAUGUACCUUAUGAAUAAGGAUCGGCUAACUCCGUGCCAGCAGCCGCGGUAAUACGGAGGAUCCGAGCGGUAUCCGGAUUAAUUGGGUUUAAAGGGUGCGUAGGCGGACUGUUAAGUCAGCGGUAAAAGCCCGGGGCUAAACCCCGGCGAGCCGUUGAAACUGGCUGUCUUGAGAUGUCGAGAGGUAUGCGGAAUGCGCAGUGUAGCGGUGAAAUGCUUAGAUAUUGCGCAGAACUCCGAUUGCGAAGGCAGCUUACUAAACUGCCACUGACAUUGAUGCUCGAAAGUGUGGGUAUCAAACAGGAUUAGAUACCCCAGUAGUC